Molecule: long non-coding RNA, 270 nt
Filed under: Panax ginseng (ginseng)
Lineage: Eukaryota; Viridiplantae; Streptophyta; Magnoliopsida; Apiales; Araliaceae
Description: long non-coding RNA (PGIN_LNC013018)
Source: RNAcentral
GCCAUGGUCGGAAACGAGUAGAAGGCACCUCGCCUAGAACUUGAUACCGAGAUGACCAGGAUGCAAAGGCCUCCCGGUUGACUAAGAUGGCAGAUGAGGCGGAUAAAGCUAUGGAAGUACUUUUGAAGCAGCGUUAGGAUAUAGCUGAGCAGAUGGCUCGGAUGGCAGAGUUGAGAGAUGAAGAGCUCAGCUAUGUCCAAUCCGAAGAGCAAGGGCAUCGGAGUGGGAAGGAACCUGCUCAUUCAGGGCGACAGUCUCUGGGCCGAACUA